GACGAACGCUGGCGGCGUGCUUAACACAUGCAAGUCGAACGGAAAGGCCCUGCUUUUGUGGGGUGCUCGAGUGGCGAACGGGCGAGUAACACGUGAGUAACCUGCCCUUGACUUUGGGAUAACUUCAGGAAACUGGGGCUAAUACCGGAUAGGAGCUCCUGCUGCAUGGUGGGGGUUGGAAAGUUUCGGCGGUUGGGGCUGGACUCGCGGCUUAUCAGCUUGUUGGUGGGGUAGUGGCUUACCAAGGCUUUGACGGGUAGCCGGCCUGAGAGGGUGACCGGCCACAUUGGGACUGAGAUACGGCCCAGACUCCUACGGGAGGCAGCAGUGGGGAAUAUUGCACAAUGGGCGGAAGCCUGAUGCAGCAACGCCGCGUGCGGGAUGACGGCCUUCGGGUUGUAAACCGCUUUCGCCUGUGACGAAGCGUGAGUGACGGUAAUGGGUAAAGAAGCACCGGCUAACUACGUG
Molecule: ribosomal RNA, 468 nt
Filed under: uncultured bacterium
Lineage: Bacteria
Description: partial 16S ribosomal RNA
Rfam family: Bacterial small subunit ribosomal RNA
Source: RNAcentral